UCCGUAGGUGAACCUGCGGAGGGAUCAUUACAAGUGACCCCGGUCUAACCACCGGGAUGUUCAUAACCCUUUGUUGUCCGACUCUGUUGCCUCCGGGGCGACCCUGCCUUCGGGCGGGGGCUCCGGGUGGACACUUCAAACUCUUGCGUAACUUUGCAGUCUGAGUAAAUUUAAUUAAUAAAUUAAAACUUUUAACAACGGAUCUCUUGGUUCUGGCAUCGAUGAAGAACGCAGCGAAAUGCGAUAAGUAAUGUGAAUUGCAGAAUUCAGUGAAUCAUCGAAUCUUUGAACGCACAUUGCGCCCCCUGGUAUUCCGGGGGGCAUGCCUGUUCGAGCGUCAUUUCACCACUCAAGCCUCGCUUGGUAUUGGGCAACGCGGUCCGCCGCGUGCCUCAAAUCGACCGGCUGGGUCUUCUGUCCCCUAAGCGUUGUGGAAACUAUUCGCUAAAGGGUGCUCGGGAGGCUACGCCGUAAAACAAACCCAUUUCUAAGGUUGACCUCGGAUCAGGUAGGGAUACCCGCUGAACUUAAGCAUAUCAAUAAGCGGAGGAAAAGAAACCAACAGGGAUUGCCCUAGUAACG
This 582-nucleotide ribosomal RNA is filed under the name uncultured fungus. RNAcentral's name for it is "eukaryotic LSU rRNA". The stretch from base 187 to 340 matches the Rfam family "5.8S ribosomal RNA". Lineage: Eukaryota; Fungi. The record is from RNAcentral.